CACAGAGGCCCCCAGGAGCCCUGGGAUGAUCUAAGGGGGGCCAGGAGGGUUUGGGGCCCCCCCAGGUGCUCUGGGAUGCCCUGGGGGGGCAGGAGGAUUUGGGGACCCCCCACAUGCUUUGGGAUGCCCUAGGGGGCUCCAGGAAUGUUUGGGGAUCCCCCAGGUGCUCUGGGAUGCCCUGGGGGGGGCUCCAGGAGGAUUUGGGGGCCCCUCAAGUGCUCUGGGAGGGGCCCAGGAGGAUUUGGGGACCCCCAGGUGCUCUGGGAUGUCCUGGGGGGGCUCCAGGAGGAUUUGGGGACCCCCAGGUGCUCUGGGAUGCCCUGGAGGGGCUCCAGGAGGAUUUGGGGACCCCCCAGGUGCUCUGGGAGGGGAGCAGGAGGAUUUGGGGACUUCCCAGGUGCUCUGGGGUGUCCUAGGUGGGGCCAGGAGGACUUGGGGAACCCCAGGGGCAAUGGGGGAACCCUGGGGUCCCCCUGGUGAUUUGGGGAGGGGGGCAUGUGCCCCCCCGCAACCUUUGCCAGGCUGGUGCCCCCCGAGAUCCAGAGCGUGCGGGACUUCCCGCCGGAGCUGGUGGUGGAGGCAGCGGUGCGCUGCGUCCGUGUGGUGCGCCCGGCACUGGGCGCCCCGCUCAGCACCCUCCUGCCCCCCGGCAUGUCGGCCCGCUUCCGCCUUGCCUCCGACCUGGCCAGUGCCUGCCAGGAGCUGGGCUUCGGCGGCGACGUGGGCUACCAGACCUUCCUGUACAGCUCCGAGCACGACACCCGCCGCCUCCUGCUCUUCCUUGUGGAGAAGCUGCCGCGGGACGAGGCCGGGGGGGGGGCCGAGCCCCCAGGGAAGUCGGGGGCGCUGCUCCGGGCCAUCGGUGCCUGCAUCCGGGACCAACUGGGGACCCCCUGGGUGCCCCCCAAUUGCCGCACCCCCCGCCUCCAGCGCCUGCAGGGUACCAGCUAUCUCCAACCCUUUUCUACCUGCCCCCUGGUUCUGCCCCACAGCGGGGGCCCCCCAGGUAGGGGCUGGG
Molecule: long non-coding RNA, 1018 nt
Filed under: Apteryx rowi (Okarito brown kiwi)
Lineage: Eukaryota; Metazoa; Chordata; Aves; Apterygiformes; Apterygidae
Description: lncRNA (ENSARWG00000012578.1)
Source: RNAcentral